Molecule: ribosomal RNA, 662 nt
Filed under: uncultured bacterium
Lineage: Bacteria
Description: bacterial SSU rRNA
Rfam family: Bacterial small subunit ribosomal RNA
Source: RNAcentral
GGCUUAGAGUUUGAUCAUGGCUCAGGAUGAACGCUGGCGGCGUGCCUAACACAUGCAAGUCGAACGAAGCACUUUAUUACGAUUUCUUCGGAAUGACGAUUUGGUGACUGAGUGGCGGACGGGUGAGUAACGCGUGGAUAACCUGCCCCAUACAGGGGGAUAACAGUUAGAAAUGACUGCUAAUACCGCAUAAGCGCACAGUAUCGCAUGAUACGGUGUGAAAAACUCCGGUGGUAUGGGAUGGAUCCGCGUCUGAUUAGCCAGUUGGCGGGGUAGAGGCCCACCAAAGCGACGAUCAGUAGCCGACCUGAGAGGGUGACCGGCCACAUUGGGACUGAGACACGGCCCAAACUCCUACGGGAGGCAGCAGUGGGGAAUAUUGCACAAUGGGGGAAACCCUGAUGCAGCGACGCCGCGUGAGCGAAGAAGUAUUUCGGUAUGUAAAGCUCUAUCAGCAGGGAAGAAGAAUGACGGUACCUGACUAAGAAGCUCCGGCUAAAUACGUGCCAGCAGCCGCGGUAAUACGUAUGGAGCAAGCGUUAUCCGGAUUUACUGGGUGUAAAGGGAGCGUAGGCGGUGCUAUAAGUCUGAUGUGAAGGCCCGGGGCUCAACCGCGGGACUGCAUUGGAAGCUGUAGGACUGGAGUGUCGGAGGGGUAAGUG